GGAUGUGAGGGCGAUCUGGCUGCGACAUCUGUCACCCCAUUGAUUGCCAGGGUUGAUCCAGCUGGCUAGGCGGGUGUCCCCUUCCUCCCUCACUGCUCCGUGUGCGACCCUCCUGAAGCUGUAACACCAGUACCAGUUUUUAUUUAUUCCAUUCCUUUGAGACAGCCUUCCCUGAAUAGAGAUGGGCCGGUCUUCAGUCAAGGGUGUACAAGUAGCUGCACUCCCCUGCUAGAACCUCCAAACAAGCUUUCAAGGUCCACAUAGAAGAACCAUGCACAGGAAAAGCUUCACCAGUGAUAAGUAUAUCUUGCUGUGGUAUCUCUUU
This 325-nucleotide small nuclear RNA is filed under the name Erinaceus europaeus (western European hedgehog). RNAcentral describes it as "7SK RNA (ENSEEUG00000021914.1)". It matches the Rfam family "7SK RNA". Rfam says of the family: 7SK was discovered as an abundant small nuclear RNA in the mid-70s but a possible function has only recently been suggested. Two independent studies have found that 7SK RNA binds the CDK9/cyclin T complex (known as elongation factor P-TEFb). Lineage: Eukaryota; Metazoa; Chordata; Mammalia; Eulipotyphla; Erinaceidae. The record is from Rfam by way of RNAcentral.